CGGAAAUUGCCAUCGCACUUACUUCGCAAGCUGUCAACGUGGGGAAAAGUGGCGCAAGGAACAUUACUAGAAAACCACAGCCAAAUAACACUACACCCUACUGCCGGUGAGUAAGGUCGCCAGAGCUCAACGAGGGUGCGGAGUGUUAGGGUCGGCAACGCGUAUAUAACUCUUCUGAAGUUGCAGGCGUCCAUAGGCUACGGAGACUGCAUCAGGCGGGCCGUAUGCUUGUUUACUACCAAUAUAGUUUAUAAAAAAGCAAUUCAGUUAUGCAUCAUGCACCGCUGCAGUCUCAUCCGAAUGCAACCUUAACAUAAUACGUCCAAUAAACUUGACGAGUUAAGUCGGAAGAUUAGAUGACAGCCUUCCUAAUCGUUUGCAAGUCCUGAUUGUUUCCUAGUGUAAUUAUUAACUAAUAAGUUAUUUAUAUAAGUAAUGAAACCUUAAUAAAUGGAACCUCAGUGCAUUA
This is a long non-coding RNA of Cydia pomonella (codling moth), 469 nucleotides long. RefSeq lists it as uncharacterized. Lineage: Eukaryota; Metazoa; Arthropoda; Insecta; Lepidoptera; Tortricidae. The record is from RefSeq and is a predicted model, not a curated record. The transcript has 2 exons.